AUUGAACGCUGGCGGCAUGCCUAACACAUGCAAGUCGAACGGCAGCACGGUCUAGUUUACUAGAUGGGUGGCGAGUGGCGCACGGGUGAGUAAUACGUAGGAAUAUACCUUAAAGAGGGGGAUAACUUGGGGAAACUCAAGCUAAUACCGCAUACUUUCUAAGGAGGAAAGCUGGGGACCAUUUGGCCUGGCGCUUUAAGAUUAGCCUACGUCCGAUUAGCUAGUUGGUAGGGUAAAGGCCUACCAAGGCGACGAUCGGUAGCUGGUCUGAGAGGAUGAUCAGCCACACUGGGACUGAGACACGGCCCAGACUCCUACGGGAGGCAGCAGUGGGGAAUAUUGGACAAUGGGGGCAACCCUGAUCCAGCGAUGCCGCGUGUGUGAAGAAGGCCUACGGGUUGUAAAGCACUUUCGGUGGGGAGGAGGGCUUAUAGGUUAAGAGCUGAUAAGUUGGACGUUACCCACAAAAGAAGCACCGGCUAACUCCGUGCCAGCAGCCGCGGUAA
RNAcentral lists this ribosomal RNA (506 nucleotides) under uncultured bacterium. Its description in RNAcentral is "partial 16S ribosomal RNA". It matches the Rfam family "Bacterial small subunit ribosomal RNA", at positions 30 to 523 of the family's 1533-position model. The record is from RNAcentral.